CUAACACAUGCAAGUCGGACGAGAACGAUGUAGGGAUAUCUUUAGUAAAGGGCGCACGGGUGAGUAACACGUAAGUAACCUGCCUUAAGGUUUGGGAUCCCUCGACAUAUCGCACCUAAUACCGGAUGAUGCAGCGGAUCCGCAUGGAAUGUCGUAUAAAUCUAUAUGGUGCCUAUAGAUGGGCUGGGGUGCGAUUACUACUAGGGGAGGUAUUGGCUUACCAAGGCUACCAUCGGUAGCUGGUCUAGAGGAUCAUCUGCCCCGCGGGUAAGCGAGUAGCGGCUCCGGACUCCUAGGGGAGCCAGGAGCUGGGGAAUAUUGGGCCAAUGGCCCGCAAGGGGUGACGCAGGGAGGGCCUGGCUGGUCAGAUGAAUGCCGUAGCGGGUCGUUACGCCCUCGCAGAGUGGGACGAUCACCGUGUGGGCGGACGCCGGCGCUUUGGCGUGGGCGCCGCUGUAUAGAGGGGGCGGUGUAUGUUGG
This 480-nucleotide ribosomal RNA is filed under the name uncultured bacterium. RNAcentral's name for it is "bacterial SSU rRNA". The stretch from base 1 to 356 matches the Rfam family "Bacterial small subunit ribosomal RNA", at positions 48 to 398 of the family's 1533-position model. The record is from RNAcentral.